RNAcentral lists this long non-coding RNA (476 nucleotides) under Daucus carota (carrot). RNAcentral's name for it is "long non-coding RNA (DCAR_LNC004095)". The record is from RNAcentral. Lineage: Eukaryota; Viridiplantae; Streptophyta; Magnoliopsida; Apiales; Apiaceae.
CAUAUUCAAAGAAGAGUCUGCUGCCAGCUGUCAGCUCAUUCCCAGAAACAAAAGCAUUCCAGCCACUCGAAAAUCUUGCCUGAUUCCCGUACCUCAAAACUUCCACUGACAACGCUUCAUCACCGACUAUUAAGCCAACAGAUGUUCUUCUAUUCCAUUGUCGGGUGGCAGUCCAAAAAGUUGUGGGAAUAUACUGCACCAGAGAAAUUAGUAUUAAAAUAAAUUAGGGAAUCAGUCUACCAAUAAAGAAAAGAGUUAACUAAUACUUGCAAUUAUACAGUUUUAGUUUCACUGGAUACAAACAAAAAGCAAUCUCAUGAUACAAAAAACUAUUCACAGUCUAAAAUAAUAAUACAGUUUUAGUUUCGAAUACAAACAAAAAACAGAAAGAGUUAACUAAUACUCUAACAUAAUAGGAAAUCAACCUAACUAAACUUAAUGAACAGAACAAUAUAUUACCACUCCAUGCCCACGCU